RNAcentral lists this transfer RNA (77 nucleotides) under Clostridia bacterium. Its description in RNAcentral is "tRNA-Pro". It matches the Rfam family "tRNA". Rfam says of the family: Transfer RNA (tRNA) molecules are approximately 80 nucleotides in length. Their secondary structure includes four short double-helical elements and three loops (D, anti-codon, and T loops). Further hydrogen bonds mediate the characteristic L-shaped molecular structure. tRNAs have two regions of fundamental functional importance: the anti-codon, which is responsible for specific mRNA codon recognition, and the 3' end, to which the tRNAs corresponding amino acid is attached (by aminoacyl-tRNA synthetases). tRNAs cope with the degeneracy of the genetic code in two manners: having more than one tRNA (with a specific anti-codon) for a particular amino acid; and 'wobble' base-pairing, i.e. permitting non-standard base-pairing at the 3rd anti-codon position. The record is from RNAcentral. Lineage: Bacteria; Bacillati; Bacillota; Clostridia.
CGGGGUGUAGCUCAGUUUGGUAGAGCGCCUGGUUCGGGACCAGGAGGCCACAAGUUCAAGUCUUGCCACUCCGACCA